GAUUAACGCUGGCGGCGUGCCUAACACAUGCGAGUCGAGCGGCAGCGAGUUUUACACUGAAUUCUGGAAGCUUCUAGUUGAAAGAGAAGAUUUAUUCAAGAAUUUUGUGUAAAAUGUCGGCGAGCGGCGGACGGCUGAGUAACGCGUGGGAACGUACCCCAAAGUGAGGGAUAACGCAUCGAAAGGUGUGCUAAUACCGCAUAUGGUCUUCGGAUUAAAGCCUUCGGGCGCUUUGGGAACGGCCUGCGUAAGAUUAGAUAGUUGGUGGGGUAAUGGCCUACCAAGUCGACGAUCUUUAACUGGUUUGAGAGGAUGAUCAGUCAGACUGGAACUGAGACACGGUCCAGACUCCUACGGGAGGCAGCAGUGAGGAAUCUUCCACAAUGGGCGAAAGCCUGAUGGAGCAACGCCGCGUGCAGGAUGAAGGCCUUCGGGUUGUAAACUGCUUUUAUAAGUGAGGAUUAUGACAGUAACUUAUGAAUAGGGAUCGGCUAACUACGUG
This 502-nucleotide ribosomal RNA is filed under the name uncultured bacterium. RNAcentral describes it as "partial 16S ribosomal RNA". It matches the Rfam family "Bacterial small subunit ribosomal RNA", at positions 28 to 507 of the family's 1533-position model. The record is from RNAcentral.